UACAGAGGGGGCAAGCGUUGUUCGGAAUUACUGGGCGUAAAGGGCGCGUAGGCGGCCCGCUAAGUCGAACGUGAAAUCCCCGGGCUCAACCCGGGAACUGCGUCCGAUACUGGUGGGCUUGAAUCCGGGAGAGGGAUGCGGAAUUCCAGGUGUAGCGGUGAAAUGCGUAGAUAUCUGGAGGAACACCGGUGGCGAAGGCGGCAUCCUGGACCAACACUGACGCUGAGGAGCGAAAGCCAGGGGAGCAAACGGG
This 253-nucleotide ribosomal RNA is filed under the name uncultured bacterium. RNAcentral's name for it is "partial 16S ribosomal RNA". It matches the Rfam family "Bacterial small subunit ribosomal RNA", at positions 524 to 776 of the family's 1533-position model. The record is from RNAcentral.